GUCCUAGUAGCUUAAAAUUAAAGCACUG
This 28-nucleotide transfer RNA is filed under the name Podarcis tiliguerta. RNAcentral's name for it is "partial tRNA-Thr". Lineage: Eukaryota; Metazoa; Chordata; Lepidosauria; Squamata; Lacertidae. The record is from RNAcentral. RNAcentral also lists the same sequence under 3 other names.